RNAcentral lists this ribosomal RNA (1480 nucleotides) under uncultured Bordetella sp. RNAcentral describes it as "partial 16S-23S ribosomal RNA intergenic spacer". It matches the Rfam family "Bacterial small subunit ribosomal RNA". The record is from RNAcentral. Lineage: Bacteria; Pseudomonadati; Pseudomonadota; Betaproteobacteria; Burkholderiales; Alcaligenaceae.
GUUUGAUCCUGGCUCAGAUUGAACGCUGGCGGGAUGCUACAUGCAAGUUGAACGGCAGCGCGGACUGAUCUGGUGGCGAGUGGCGAACGGUGGAGAGUAAUGUAUCGGAACGUGAUGCCUGAAGUGGCCGGGGAUAUUACGCGAAAGCGUAGCUAAUACCACCGCAUACGCCCUUCGAGGAAAGCGGGGACGCUUCGGGCCUCGCACUAUUAAGCAGCCGAUAUCGGAUUAGCUAGUUGGUGGGGUAACGGCUCACCAAGGCGACGAUCCGUAGCUGGUUUAAGAGAGAGGACGACCAGCCACAUGGGACGAAGACCUGGCCCAGACUCGGGGCGGCGGUGGGGAAUUUUGGACAAUGGAAACCUGAUCCAGCCAUCCCGCGUGUCCGCGAUGAAGGCCUUCAGGUUGUAAAGCACUUUUGGCAGGAAAAAGAAACGGCACGGGAUAAUACCCCGUGCAACUGACGGUACCUGCAGAAUAAGCACCGGCUAACUACGUGCCAGCAGCCGCGGUAAUACGUAGGGUGCAAGCGUUAAUCGGAAUUACUGGGCGUAAAGCGUGCGCGGGCGGUUCGGAAGAAAGAUGUGAAAUCAGAGCUUAACUUUGGAACUGCAGUAACUACCGAGCUAGAGUGUGUCAGAGGGAGGUGGAGAUUCCGCGUGUAUAGUCGUACGUGAAUGUGCGGAGGAACACCGAUGGCGAAGGCAGCCUCACCGGGAUUUAACACUGACGCUCAUGCACGAAAGCGUGGGGAGCAAACAGGAUUAGAUACCCUGGUAGUCCACGCCCUAAACGAUGUCAACUAGCUGUUGGGAGCCUUCAGGCCUUGGUAGCGCAACUAACGCGUGAAGUUGACCGCCUGAAGAUACGGUCGCAAGAUUAAAACUCAAAGGAAUUGACGGGGACCCGCACAAGCGGUGGAUGAUGUGGAUUAAUUCGAUGCAACACUUGAAAAGAAAACCUUACCUACCCUUGACAUAUCUGGAAUCCCGAAGAGAUUGGGAGUGCUCGCAAGAGAACCGGAACACAGGUGCUGCAUGGCUGUCGUCAGCUCGUGUCGUGAGAUGUUGGGUUAAGUCCCGCAACAGAGGCGCAACCCUUGUCAUUAGUUGCUACGAAAAGGGCGCUCUAAUGAGACUGCCGGUAAACCGGAGGAAGGUGAGAUGACCUCAAGUCCUCAUGGCCCAUAUGGUCAGGGCUUCACCGUCGCCACAAUGGUCGGGACAGAGGGUCGCCAACCCGCGAGGGGAGCCAAUCCCAGAAACCCGAUCACAGUCCGGAUCCAGUCUGCAACUCGACUGCGCGUGAAGUCCGGAAUCGCUGGCGCGGAUCAGCAUGUCGCGGUGAAUACGUUCCCGGGUCUUGUACACACCGCCCGGCUACGGAGAAUUGCGUUUUACAGAAGUAGUUAGCCUAACCUGGGAGGGCGAUUACCCACAGUAGGAUUCAUGACUGGAGAAUUGUGAUCGUAACAAAGUAG